CCUACGGGAGGCAGCAGUGAGGAAUAUUGGUCAAUGGGCGCAAGCCUGAACCAGCCAAGUCGCGUGAGGGAAGACGGCCCUACGGGUUGUAAACCUCUUUUGCCGGGGAGCAAGCCUUAGCACGUUUGCCCAGGCGGAGAGUACCCGGCGAAAAAGCAUCGGCUAACUCGGUGACAGCCGCCGCGGUAAGACGGAGGAUGCGAGCGUUAUCCGUAUUUAUGGGGUUUAAGGGGUGUGCAGGCGGUCUGUUUAGCCCGCGGAAAAAAUUCAGGGCUCAACCCUGUCGAGCCGUCGGAACUGGCAGUCUUGAGUGGGCGAGAAGUAUGUGGAAUGCGUGGUGUAGCGGUGAAAUGCAUAGAUAUCACGCAGAACGCCGAUUGCGAAGGCAGCAUACCGGCGCCCAACUGACGCUGAGGCACGAAAGCGUGGGGAUCGAACAGGAUUAGAUACCCUUGUAGUC
This 460-nucleotide ribosomal RNA is filed under the name uncultured bacterium. RNAcentral describes it as "partial 16S ribosomal RNA". It matches the Rfam family "Bacterial small subunit ribosomal RNA", at positions 338 to 795 of the family's 1533-position model. The record is from RNAcentral.